RNAcentral lists this long non-coding RNA (400 nucleotides) under Sinocyclocheilus grahami. RNAcentral describes it as "lncRNA (ENSSGRG00000032711.1)". The record is from RNAcentral. Lineage: Eukaryota; Metazoa; Chordata; Actinopteri; Cypriniformes; Cyprinidae.
UCUCAGAUGAGCACUCUGCAGGCUACGGUGUCCAAGCUGAAGCUGGAUCUGGAGCAGGAGCUGGAGAGGUGGAGGUAGGGGAUAUGAGAGGCAGCCAAGGCCGAUCAGAGAGGGAGAGAGCUGAGACGAGCUCAGCACAGCACAGGCCUCUCAUAAAGAGUAUAUGGAGCUGCUGGCUGAGUACAGUCGAGAGGUGACGGCCCAGAGGAGUGAGCAGGCCCGUCUGCAGCAGUGCCUGAUCCAGCUGACAGAGGAGAGGGAGACUCAGGAGGAGAGAGUCAAACAGAUGAGCGCAGAUCUACAGAGAGCGCACAGUGAGAGCAGGUGCUCUCAGGAGGAGCUCUGGCUUUUAAAAAUAAUUGCUGUUGGUGCUGCAGCCAUAUCAGAGGAAGGCCAGUAA